This is a long non-coding RNA of Columba livia (rock pigeon), 1046 nucleotides long. RefSeq lists it as uncharacterized. The transcript is spliced from 3 exons. NCBI's taxonomy places the organism in Eukaryota, Metazoa, Chordata, Aves, Columbiformes, Columbidae. The record is from RefSeq and is a predicted model, not a curated record.
AGGUGAACAUGCUGGUGGAGUUUAUGAUGGAGAACCUCAGUGACAUCUUUUGGGAGGAGACAGCUGGUCUCUCCUGUCCGUCUUCCAAGGAGUCACCAGUACCCAUGGAAAGAUCCACUGAUGGGCAUGUGGAAGAGCAAAGUGGCCCUGCAGGCAGAGUAGACAAGGACCAUCAGGUAAAAUCCUUUCUGGAUGCCCCCCCUCUCUGCAGAACAGCCUCCAAGAAGCUGGGUGAAGCACAGUGGUGGAGGGUGAAAUGGCAGAGGCAUGACCAUUCCAGAAAAAUCAGGACAACUUGUCCUGGGUCAGAGGUUUGUUUUUGUCGAGGCCAAGGAGCUGCUGUGCCUCCUCCUGGCAGCUGAUCCCUCAUGCGUUUGGGAUUCCUUUUCCUCGUGGAAUUAUACACUGUAAGGAAAACAAAUGGUGAAUGAUGCGAACCAGGAUCUUCUCUGUAGAUUUAAGGUGUUGAUUUGGCAGUCUGUCACCAACUACUCCAUGUCUUCUCUUGCCGCAUUUUAACUCCCAUAUUUCUCAUUCAGGCACCUCCAACUUUUCCUCCAAGCACCGCCGAGAGUGCGGCAGAGUCCCUGGGUCGCCCGGAACAGCUGAGGACUCUUUCAGAGGAUAGAAGGUAAAAAGAGCUCACGUUUCUUAAAAUCAGUACUGACCAAAUGUGGCUGUAAUUAAACUAAGAACUUUGCCAGUGGAUUGUGUCUUUCCCUGUCUAAUCACAUUGUGGGAUGGAAAGGUUUGCAGGCUCUGCCCAGGACAAGGAAAUCAGAAGAAACUGCAAGAGAAGACAUGCCGGUGGAGAUGAGGGUGACAUUGACAUAGAAGAGAAGAGGAGGAAGAGAAACAACGUGUUUGGGGAUGGAAAACUAAGAAGAUACAGGAAGGUGCAGAGGUUCAGGAAGCCCAGGUCCCGUCUUCCUUUGACCGGUUGUGCCCUGUGAUUCUUGGUGUUGAAUGUUUGGAAUAAAGUGUUUUGGAAGUUACAAGAAAGUGUUUUUAAAAUGUUCACUUCCCCGCGGUUGAUGUUCACAAUA